Long non-coding RNA from Falco peregrinus (peregrine falcon), 2871 nucleotides. RefSeq lists it as uncharacterized. The transcript has 11 exons. The record is from RefSeq and is a predicted model, not a curated record. NCBI's taxonomy places the organism in Eukaryota, Metazoa, Chordata, Aves, Falconiformes, Falconidae.
GAGGAAGAAGAGGGAAGAGAGAGCAUGCCCUUGGUGAGCAGAGACUAGGAGAAGACAGCAGAGGGACUGGCAUGAAGAGAUGUUGUAUUUCAGUUGUCUUGGAACUACGUUUUUUUUGGCAAAAGUGACGCUUAAAAUUGAAUGCCACAGGUCCAUUAACGAUGCGUCUUAUGCAAUUGCGUGUGUCAGGCUGGUGAAAUGUGGCUGACAUUGGAAGUCUUGAUGACGUAACCAAGAUGAGGUCAGUAAAAAUGCAUGCCGUUUAUAUGUCACCAGAGGCCUCCUGCACAAGCGCAAACAGGAGAAGAUGCUGAUCAGCGGAAGAGAACUAUUUCACUAAAGUAUUCCCCCACCACCUUUAAAAACUCCAGUUGACUUCUGACAAAAAAAAAAUAUUGCAACCAACUGUUUGCCUUGAAGCCAGCACACCAAGCCAGGCCAAAAUCCGUGCAGUGGACUCACGGUUCAGGUUCAAGACCUUGCCUGCCACACCUCCCUCUCCCAGUGCGAGCCAAAGCUACGUGUUGGAAUCACAGAAAGGCAGCAAAGUUCAUAUAUGAUGGAAAAGGGUCAAAAGAUUUCACAAAUCUUUGGAUUUCAGUGUUCAAGCUUGUCUUCUACAAAAAAAAAAAUUCAUUCUGGGGGCAAGCCCAGAAGCUUAUAGGAAUGCAUGGCUUCUGAACAAGGAUGCUGAACAGCACAAACUACCUUAUGGUAUUUCUUUUCCUUCUCCUGCUGUGUGGAUGGACAUCAUCUGGAGGACACUGAGGCAGUAGAGGAUAACAUACCAGUCACACAACAGGAAAAGAGGAACAAAAUAAGACGAAAUGAGUGAGGAGAUUAAAAUGCAGAAUAAUGGACAUUUGGCUGGGAUAAGGAAGGACAUUCCCCCUAUCUCCUGUGUGCCUGCAAGCAGUUGUCCAUGGCUGUCCAUUCCUUGGGGUACCUGCAGUCAGGACCACAUUAGGAACGACAUGCUGAGCUCACACAAGAACAACGCCUGCAUUUACUGGAAACGUUGCAGUAAGGUGCUGGCAAUAAAAGACUGCUUCAAAGAGGAAAAUAUUCUCAAGAUCUUGGCCUGCAGUGCUCUGAAGAUGUGAUUAACUUGCCAGAGGUAUAGACAGCUCUAAACUCAUUCGGAGCAAGAGUCUUGGGACUAGCUGGUGUAUUUUGGAUGUUUGCCAACAUGGGAAUGAAACAGAAGCAUCUGGAUAUUCUGCAUUCACACUGCAGUGGCAAUGGACUGUCAUUUCCAAAAGCUGGACAUGCCUUUCAUCCUGACUUCAGAUGUGCUUCCUGAAGUGGUCACUUUAUCUCUUUCUCCUCAUUUGCUCUUGCCACCCAGAGCUAUACUCACAAAAAGAGGGAAAGAAGUCUGAGAAGCUGAUUGCAGAGAGGAGCUCUAAAUACACUUAUACAAAUACAAAAUGACUACCCAUUAAAAAAAUAUAAAGCUUAAAAUUUUGCAACACCUAAUUACAAUGCCAAGAAGAAAAGCUCUAAUAAAUCCUAACUGGCAAAAAUACAAAAAUAAAUCCAGAUGAAUCUUCUUUCAAAAGAACCCAAGAAACAAAAAAAACAAAAACCCAAAGAGCCCAUGAACUGGAAAACUUAUCUGUAAAGGGUGAAGGAUGCUUGUUAUAUUCUGUUAUGAAUUUGUCUCAAGUUUCUGAUGAAAGUAUCUUGAACAAGAAUAACAUUUGAUAAACCAUUACCUUAUUUAAAUUCUUAAUAUUUGUGGGAGUUUUCCAUAUUACAGACCAUGUGUAUGAUUUUCAGGAAAGGCAACAGGCUAUUAUGUGUCCAGUUCUGUACUGAAAACUAAACUCCCCAAAAUUUCUUUAACUCCUUUAACCACUGAAGUACAUUGUUAUAACCCAGCUGGUAAUACCAGCUUGAUGCAUCUCAUUAGAGAAGCUUGGUUUUCAGCUGCCAAUAAUUUUUCUAAUCUUUAAUGAUUUGGUGUUUAAUAUUCCCUGUUAUGUGCCUGCUUCAAAUGCAUUUUUUCCCUAAGCAGAUUUGGUCAGCUGGUUUCAUGAAUUAAGUCAGGAAGAAAAAAACCAAAAAAAAUAGACAGAGGUGGUUUGGUUUGAUUUGGUUUUGCUGAAAAAAGAUGGAGAAGUUGUUUCUUGAAAUUUCUAUUGUUUCAUGGUUUGGAGUACUGUUUUGAAUUUUAGAGGCACUUAAGACUGGUUUCAUGGACAGUCUUUGGCUGUACCCACAAAAACAGCCUACAUUUGUCCUUCAAUGAAUUUGUUUAUGUGUCUUCAUCCAGGGCAUCUUAGAUUUUUUCCUUGUAAAUCCUCUGAGAAUUUUGUUUUUACCAAUGAUGCUGUCCCCCAGCCUGACUUGAAAAGAUGCUGCUGGUGAAAAUGUUGGGACUUUGAUCCUCCACUAAGGAGAUGUGAGUGGGUCUAACAGAGUGAGGAACUGAGACUAAACAGGCAUGAGAAAAGGUCUCUAUCGAGAAAAAGAGACAAGGGUUUCCUCUUCAGAAAAGUGCACUUACUGGAUUAGGUUCCCUGCCAGAUCCCAAAGCCGAACCCGGAUUUCCUGAGUCUGCUGUCAGCAAAUCUCUGUGAAACCCUCUGAAAAAAUGCCCGGUUCUCCUUCAGAGCUGUUCACAGAGUGGACAACAACCUGUUACUACUAUCAGUUUCUCCUUUAAGCCUCGUGGCAGAGGCAGAUCUCAAGUUUCCAGCCCCCCAAUGAUUUGUGUGGGUGUCAGCACUGCUCUACACCACAGAAAGUCUAUCCUUUUCCCCCAUUUGAUGAUAUAAAAGUUGGAAAAUGACUUUCUUAGGAAAUAUGUGAAAAGACUAAAGAUGUAAUUUCAAGGCAAAUAUUAAAAACUCAGAUUUAAGGUUG